Etheostoma spectabile (orangethroat darter) is the source of this 128-nucleotide long non-coding RNA. RefSeq lists it as uncharacterized. The record is from RefSeq and is a predicted model, not a curated record. Lineage: Eukaryota; Metazoa; Chordata; Actinopteri; Perciformes; Percidae. The transcript is spliced from 3 exons.
CAAAACACCAUGGAUAGUUUUCCAAGUUUUGAUGCGUGUGGAAGCACCAGAGACACAAAAUGACACCCCAAAUCACAGAAAAGGGGAUUUUUGUCAUAAUAUGGGCACUAUAAUGUACCUUUACUGAA